This 201-nucleotide long non-coding RNA is filed under the name Solanum tuberosum (potato). RNAcentral's name for it is "long non-coding RNA (STUB_LNC008868)". The record is from RNAcentral. Lineage: Eukaryota; Viridiplantae; Streptophyta; Magnoliopsida; Solanales; Solanaceae.
GAAAUAUACGCUGGAAAAAAUGAGAACCUUAUCUUGAGACAACAUUGUAAAAAACUCCUAAAUCGAUAUAACAAUGAAAACAUAAAACACAUGUAUCUUCUAAAAAUAAUUACAACAAGCAUAUAACACAUGUAAGAGCAUAAAAAUGUAAAUAUACAACAAAUCACAGCAACACUAGACAACAUUAGACAAAUCUGAAAC